GAUGAAGAACGUAGCGAAAUGCGAUAAGUAAUGCGAAUUGCAGAAUUCAGUGAAUCAUCGAAUCUUUGAACGCACAUUGCGCCCGCCAGUAUUCUGGCGGGCAUGCCUGUUCGAGCGUCAUUACAACCCUCAGGCCCCCGGGCCUGGCGUUGGGGAUCGGCGGAAGCCCCCUGUGGGCACACGCCGUCCCUCAAAUACAGUGGCGGUCCCGCCGCAGCUUCCAUUGCGUAGUAGCUAACACCUCGCAACUGGAGAGCGGCGCGGCCAUGCCGUAAAACACCCAACUUCUGAAUGUUGACCUCGAAUCAGGUAGGAAUACCCGCUGAACUUAAGCAUAUCAAUAAGCGGAGGA
RNAcentral lists this unclassified non-coding RNA (352 nucleotides) under soil metagenome. Its description in RNAcentral is "partial contains 5.8S ribosomal RNA, internal transcribed spacer 2, and large subunit ribosomal RNA". The stretch from base 1 to 120 matches the Rfam family "5.8S ribosomal RNA", at positions 35 to 154 of the family's 154-position model. The record is from RNAcentral.